Melopsittacus undulatus (budgerigar) is the source of this 1601-nucleotide long non-coding RNA. RefSeq lists it as uncharacterized. The record is from RefSeq and is a predicted model, not a curated record. NCBI's taxonomy places the organism in Eukaryota, Metazoa, Chordata, Aves, Psittaciformes, Psittaculidae. The transcript has 3 exons.
AAGUUUGAAGGAAAUCAAUGCUGUAACUAUUUCCUUAUUAUGACAGUUCUUAAAAAGUGUGAUAAGGUUGUUAUAGGAAACAGUGAAAAUUCCCUAAAUUUCUGGGGAUUGUAGAUUUUGUAUUUGUAACCUAAAUAGUCUUUAUUUUAACUUUUUUUUGCAUACACCAGAAAUAUGAUUUUGCUCUAGUAGUCCUGCCAUAAUAAUGUUAUACUGUGCUGAAGUCUCAUAAAAUCUCUUUGGCUCAGCAAAAGCCUUUUCACAAACAUCCUCAGUUUGGAUCUUUGUGUCAUGCCACAGCACUGUUUUACAAAAGCUGAGCUGCCUUCCCAGAGCCUCUCUCACAUAAAUUGUCCAAAUUUCAGUGCAUCGCUAAUGUAGAAGUCCUUAGAUAUCAAACCUCAGGUGUCACUAUACAUGUAAACCAAAACAUUGUAGCACUUAUAGCGUAAGGAUUUAUAAAACACCAAUAUUUGGGGUCUUAAGGGUAUUUUAUGAUGCAGCUGAAUGGAGAGACUGAUUGAUUUGUAUUCUGAAGUAGAAAAGAAUGUUAAAUUUUAAUUAAAAUUGACAGUAUGUUCUAGUAACAUAAGUGUAAUAUACACUAUACGUGUAUGGAAAUUUAGCCUACAAUAAGUAUGCAAGGCAAGACAUUUAGUGCUAAAAUGAUACAUCUAUGAAAUAAAAACAUUUUAGAUUAUGAAAAUAAACAAUUAUGACAUCCAUCCAAAGAAUAUUAACUUUGCUCAGUAGUGCUAUAUAUCAUGCAAUAGGCUUUUGGCUGUUAGGCUUUUUAGUUUACCAAUUAAAAUUAGGCAUUUUAAUAUUCAUCUUCCAGCUUAGCUUGGUUAGUUUCUUUAUAAAAAUGCUUUCUAAUCCUUCUGAUAUCAUUAAAUGAAAAUUCCUUAUCCAAAAGCCCUCAGCUUUGAAAGAUUUCUAAAUAUAGAAUCUAAGUUUUGUAGAGCCAAUUGUUUUCUGCUGAGAAUGUAGUAAAGGAGAAAUGAAUAGCAUUUAAACAGAAGACAAAACCAGCAGCUGGAGUUGGCAAAUAUUGUAAGCUGGUUAUAGUCCUUUUCUUGUUUUAACUCAAUAGUGAGGAACUGGGAAGAGCAGUUGCCUUUGCAGUGCAGAUUAUGAACAAAAUCAAAUGCUAGGGGACUUGUCACUUAAAGCUAAUUCCUAAAUCAACUAUUUUUUCCAUGUUAAUCACUUCCUGAUUAUAGCGUCUCUCUGUCCAGUGAAGAACCCUCCUGAUUUUCCUUUUUGGAAGUAAUUUUUGUGGGAGAUUCUGAAGGGGAGGAAUUUGAGUGGCAAGUGCAUCUUUUGCAGAGAGGACAACUGGAAAGAUACAUUGUACUUUAAGAAAAUACUCAGGUACAAACUCAUGAGAGUACAAUUACGGGUGAUGUACAUGCAUGUGCAGGGAGCUGGUUGGCAAGAACCUUGGGGGGAUGCUGAGGCAAAUGGAAGCUCCUCAUGUAUGGACAAGGAUCCUACUCCUGAGUUCAAUUGAGUGGUAACACAGCUGAGUGACUGUGUCUGCAUCAGAGGGGAAUAUGUCUGUGCUGUUAACAUGGACUCAUAGCUAUGCUUUGAUUUUA